This 249-nucleotide long non-coding RNA is filed under the name Anas platyrhynchos platyrhynchos (common mallard). RNAcentral's name for it is "lncRNA (ENSAPLG00000020269.1)". The record is from RNAcentral. Lineage: Eukaryota; Metazoa; Chordata; Aves; Anseriformes; Anatidae.
GGAUGCCUUAACUACAAAUGAAGUUUAAAUUAGAGACUGCUUUCUUGAUUCCUUUCUGUCAAGCUGAUGGCAACUCCAGCCUUUGUGCCUCACUGUGGAAUGGCAAGACCUACAUGUGUCAUCCUGGCCCUACUACAGACAGGACAAAAAUGUCUUCUGAGACAUUCGGGGUGCCAGAAUAGAGGCAGAACUUCAGAACCUCCCAUUCCAACCUGGAAUUCCUUCUGGACUGCAAAUUAGAGUUGAAAA